AGAGAUGGGAGAGGGAUGCAUGAAGAGGGUGUGGGGAAACUCACUUUCUGCUUCUAAUUGUAGGUUUUGGAGAAAUGAGCCAGCAGUUGCUGCAUCCUCACACAGGUGUUAUGUCUCUCCAAUUUGCCUGAGUCUCCCAGAGACUUGUUUACAGUUUCCUUUGCAAUCACAAAGGAUGCCCUGCCAUUUCCUGCCUUGAUUGACAGACCUCUCCAUGAUUCAGGAGGCCACUGGGGAGAGUGACAGGAAAACAAUUGAAAAAUGGUCCAGAGAGUCUGAACCGCAGGAGUCAAGAAUCUCUUAUUGUGGUCUUAGCACAGAUGUACUGUUUCUGCCAGAGGAAGAUGCCAGCCUGGAGUGUCUAUUCAGUGGAUUGACCUGGAAGGAUCAGGUACAGAUGGACAAUAGAUGGUGAGUUUAAAGAGAUGCAGACUGUAGGCUUGGGCAGCCUUGCAACCUUGCAGGGACCUUGGAAGGUUGGCAUUCUAAAGGAGGAAGCUUAUGGCUCAUCCUGUCUCCCCAAAGGCUCAUUAGAUUACUGGGCCCUGCAACUCUCUGUCUCGGCUUAUGUUGGAUUAAAUGGUCCAAAAGGGAAGACUUGAGGUUUCCUAAGUUUUAAUGUUCCAUCAGUAUAUUGUAUAGAGGUGGUGAGAUGUGGUGGAAAUAGCAGUGUAUUCUCACCUCUCUUCUCGCCUCCAACUCUGUAGAAUCCUGAGUGUGGUAGUAGAAAUAUUUCCUAAGGCCCUGCCGUGUUAAGUAGGGUAGUGUUUCCCAUGGCCCUACUCCAUGUAGGCUGUAGAAAAUGUGGUUGGGAAUGUUGUUUUUGCAUAUCAAUCAUCAGAGUGUGGACCCUUGAAGAGUAGCUGCUGGGGCAUUGACAGCUGUAGGCUGUUGACAAGGAAAUGUGGGGAGUGGGAGAUGUAAUUAGGAGCAGAGAUUCACAUAGGGAAAUUAGGCGCUCUGGAUACGCUGUAAACCCUGCAUUACCCAGUCAAUGGGGAAACGGGAGGGAACUGCGAUUUGGGCCUAGGAAUAAAAAGAUUUGCUCUUCCUUCUGUAAGGUGGCC
Molecule: long non-coding RNA, 1067 nt
Filed under: Phascolarctos cinereus (koala)
Lineage: Eukaryota; Metazoa; Chordata; Mammalia; Diprotodontia; Phascolarctidae
Description: lncRNA (ENSPCIG00000014658.2)
Source: RNAcentral